RNAcentral lists this ribosomal RNA (497 nucleotides) under uncultured bacterium. Its description in RNAcentral is "partial 16S ribosomal RNA". It matches the Rfam family "Bacterial small subunit ribosomal RNA", at positions 28 to 507 of the family's 1533-position model. The record is from RNAcentral.
GAUGAACGCUGGCGGCGUGCCUAAUACAUGCAAGUCGAGCGAACAGAUAAGGAGCUUGCUCCUUUGACGUUAGCGGCGGACGGGUGAGUAACACGUGGAUAACCUACCUAUAAGACUGGGAUAACUUCGGGAAACCGGAGCUAAUACCGGAUAACAUAUUGAACCGCAUGGUUCAAUAGUGAAAGGCGGCUUUGCUGUCACUUAUAGAUGGAUCCGCGCCGUAUUAGCUAGUUGGUAAGGUAACGGCUGACCAAGGCAACGAUACGUAGCCGACCUGAGAGGGUGAUCAGCCACACUGGAACUGAGACACGGUCCAGACUCCUACGGGAGGCAGCAGUAGGGAAUCUUCCGCAAUGGGCGAAAGCCUGACGGAGCAACGCCGCGUGAGUGAUGAAGGUCUUCGGAUCGUAAAACUCUGUUAUCAGGGAAGAACAAAUGUGUAAGUAACUGUGCACAUCUUGACGGUACCUGAUCAGAAAGCCACGGCUAACUACGUG